UACGUAGGGUGCAAGCGUUUGUCCGGAAUUAUUGGGCGUAAAGAGCUCGUAGGCGGUCUGUCGCGUCGCUGUGAAAACCCGGAGCUCAACUCCGGGCCUGCAGUCGAUACGGGCAAACUGGAGUGUUGCAGGGGAGACUGGAAUUCCUGGUGUAGCGGUGAAAUGCGCAGAUAUCAGGAGGAACACCGGUGGCGAAGGCGGGGUCUCUGGGCAACAACUGACGCUGAGGAGCGAAAGCGUGGGGAGCGAACAGG
This 254-nucleotide ribosomal RNA is filed under the name uncultured bacterium. Its description in RNAcentral is "partial 16S ribosomal RNA". It matches the Rfam family "Bacterial small subunit ribosomal RNA", at positions 524 to 776 of the family's 1533-position model. The record is from RNAcentral.